UACGUAGGGGGCUAGCGUUGUCCGGAUUUAUUGGGCGUAAAGAGCGUGUAGGCGGUCAGGUAGGUCGGUUGUGAAAACUGGAGGCUCAACCUUCAGAGGUCGACCGAAACCCCUGGCUAGAGUCCGGGAGAGGAGAGUGGAAUUCCUGGUGUAGCGGUGAAAUGCGCAGAUAUCAGGAAGAACACCCGUGGCGAAAGCGGCUCUCUGGAACGGUACUGACGCUGAGACGCGAAAGCGUGGGGAGCGAACAGG
This 252-nucleotide ribosomal RNA is filed under the name uncultured bacterium. RNAcentral describes it as "partial 16S ribosomal RNA". It matches the Rfam family "Bacterial small subunit ribosomal RNA", at positions 524 to 776 of the family's 1533-position model. The record is from RNAcentral.